This 1194-nucleotide ribosomal RNA is filed under the name Psidium guajava. RNAcentral describes it as "bacterial SSU rRNA". It matches the Rfam family "Bacterial small subunit ribosomal RNA", at positions 1 to 1147 of the family's 1533-position model. Lineage: Eukaryota; Viridiplantae; Streptophyta; Magnoliopsida; Myrtales; Myrtaceae. The record is from RNAcentral.
AUUAAGGUGGGCUUAAAGGUACCAUCUCUAUUGAUAUAAGCAACGCAUCUUAUAUUUAAUUCCUUAGGGAAAUAAUGUAUUAUUUAUAUGCAAAGUAGAUAGGUUGCAUUAUUGUGUCCAUAGAAAGUUCUUAUGUGACGGUUGCGAGCCAUAGGGGUGACAGUGGGAAUCUUGGACAAUGGGCGAAAACCCGAUCCAGUAAUAUCGCGCAAGUGAAGAAGGGCAAUGCCGCUUAUAAAGCUCUUUCAUCAAGUGCGCAAUCAUGACAGGAUUCAAGGAAGAAGCCCCGGCUAACUCUGUGCCAGAAGUCGCGAUAAAAUGGGGGGCAAGUGUUCUUCGGAAUGAGUAGGCGUAAAGAGCAUGUAAGCGGUGAAUUGGGUUCUAAAUGAAAGUCGCCAAAAGUAGCGGAAUGCUUUCGAAACCAAUUCACUUGAGUGAAAUGAGGAGAGUGGAAUUUCAUGUGUAGGGGUGAAAUUCGGAGAUCUACGAAGGAAGACCAAAAGCAAAGGCAGCUCCCUGGGUCCCUACCAAUGCUAGUGUGCGAAAGCAUGGGAGCAAACAGGAUUAGAUAUCUUGGUAGUCCAUGCCGUAAAUGAUGAGUGUUCGCCGUUGGUCUACGCAGGUCAGAGACCCAGUUAAUGGUGAAACACUCCGCCUGGGGAGUACAGUCAUAAGGCCGAAACUCAAAGGAAUUGAUGGGGGCCUGCACAAGUGGUGGAGCAUGUGGUUUAAUUCGAUACAACACGCAAAACCUUACAGCCCUUGACAUAUGAACAACAAAACCUAUCCUUAAUGGGAUGGUACUGACUUUCAUAUAAGUGCUGCAUGGCUAUCGUCAAUUCGUGUCGUGAAAUGUUUGGUCAAGUCCUAUAACGAGGAAAUUCUCAUUUUGUGUUGAGAAGACAUGCACCUAAGAAGAAAGUCUUUGCAACUGAAGUGAGCUGAGGAGCCGAGUGACAUGCCAGCACUUUUGAUGAUGAUAAUGGUCUUAGAAUAUUAUUUACUAUUAUCUUCAUGAUGAGGAAGCAGCGGUAAAUUUCAAUUAUUAUAUUUCAUAUCAUUGAUUAUGUGAUUAUUUUUGUAGCCUGGCUAAAUACUGAGAUUCUUAUCACUUAACAUGAUCUAACUCAAAAGUCCGGUAGUGUGCCAAGGAAAAGUGCUACAAAGAAGAAAACAUCACCUGCAGCACCAAAC